GAUGACUCCUGCAGCAACCAAUCCAGCAAAUCGUCGACUGAUUAGGCCACAUGGGGAUUGGCAGUGGGACGAUAUUUGUUGGGAGGGAAAAAAUAGGUUAAGACCUGUGAAUGCAACAUUGGGAACACUUUGUCGGUUUCACUACCCAGGAAUGGUCACAGUUGGAGGUGUGCUUCAGCCUGCAUUGAAGUGGGAGCAUUAUAAGCUGCAAUCGGAUGACCAGGGCGUCACGACGGCAGCGAGAGUUUGGAAUGACUUUUGGGAGAGGUAUCGUUUGCCGGAGGAGGAGGAGCAGUGCCUACAAGAUAGGGCUCGUUCUGUGUUUGACAAGGCAGCGACGAAGGUGGUGAGGGACAUGAUGUCCAAUGCU
Long non-coding RNA from Panicum hallii, 370 nucleotides. RefSeq lists it as uncharacterized. The record is from RefSeq and is a predicted model, not a curated record. The transcript has 3 exons. NCBI's taxonomy places the organism in Eukaryota, Viridiplantae, Streptophyta, Magnoliopsida, Poales, Poaceae.